CGGGCGGCUGCAGCAGUGGGGAAUAUUGGACAAUGGGGGAAACCCUGAUCCAGCAAUGCCGCGUGUGUGAAGAAGGCCUGCGGGUUGUAAAGCACUUUCGGUUGGGAGGACUGCUUCUAGCACUAAUAUUGUUGGAAGUUGACGUUACCUUCAGAAGAAGCACCGGCUAACUCCGUGCCAGCAGCCGCGGUAAUACGGAGGGUACAAGCGUUAAUCGGAAUUACUGGGCGUAAAGCGCGCGUAGGCGGCUAGAUCAGUCGGGUGUGAAAGCCCCGGGCUUAACCUGGGAACUGCAUCCGAUACUGUCUAGCUUGAGUACAGGAGAGGAGAGUGGAAUUCCACAUGUAGCGGUGAAAUGCGUAGAUAUGUGGAGGAACACCAAUGGCGAAGGCAGCUCUCUGGCCUGAUACUGACGCUGAGGUGCGAAAGCGUGGGGAGCAAACAGGAUUAGAUACCCUCGUAGUC
RNAcentral lists this ribosomal RNA (465 nucleotides) under uncultured bacterium. RNAcentral describes it as "partial 16S ribosomal RNA". It matches the Rfam family "Bacterial small subunit ribosomal RNA", at positions 342 to 795 of the family's 1533-position model. The record is from RNAcentral.